This 68-nucleotide transfer RNA is filed under the name Eumacrocentrus sp. QL-2013. Its description in RNAcentral is "tRNA-Pro". Lineage: Eukaryota; Metazoa; Arthropoda; Insecta; Hymenoptera; Braconidae. The record is from RNAcentral.
UUAAAAAUAGUUUUAUAAAAAUAUUAAUUUUGGAAAUUAAAGAUAUAAUUUAAUAAUUAUUUUUUAAA